UUUGAAUCCUGGCUCAGGACGAACGCUGGCGGCGUGCCUAAUACAUGCAAGUCGAGCGGACCGACGGGAGCUUGCUCCCUUAGGUCAGCGGCGGACGGGUGAGUAACACGUGGGUAACCUGCCUGUAAGACUGGGAUAACUCCGGGAAACCGGGGCUAAUACCGGAUGCUUGAUUGAACCGCAUGGUUCAAUCAUAAAAGGUGGCUUUUAGCUACCACUUACAGAUGGACCCGCGGCGCAUUAGCUAGUUGGUGAGGUAACGGCUCACCAAGGCGACGAUGCGUAGCCGACCUGAGAGGGUGAUCGGCCACACUGGGACUGAGACACGGCCCAGACUCCUACGGGAGGCAGCAGUAGGGAAUCUUCCGCAAUGGACGAAAGUCUGACGGAGCAACGCCGCGUGAGUGAUGAAGGUUUUCGGAUCGUAAAACUCUGUUGUUAGGGAAGAACAAGUACCGUUCGAAUAGGGCGGCACCUUGACGGUACCUAACCAGAAAGCCACGGCUAACUACGUGCCAGCAGCCGCGGUAAUACGUAGGUGGCAAGCGUUGUCCGGAAUUAUUGGGCGUAAAGCGCGCGCAGGCGGUUUCUUAAGUCUGAUGUGAAAGCCCCCGGCUCAACCGGGGAGGGUCAUUGGAAACUGGGGAACUUGAGUGCAGAAGAGGAGAGUGGAAUUCCACGUGUAGCGGUGAAAUGCGUAGAGAUGUGGAGGAACACCAGUGGCGAAGGCGACUCUCUGGUCUGUAACUGACGCUGAGGCGCGAAAGCGUGGGGAGCGAACAGGAUUAGAUACCCUGGUAGUCCACGCCGUAAACGAUGAGUGCUAAGUGUUAGAGGGUUUCCGCCCUUUAGUGCUGCAGCAAACGCAUUAAGCACUCCGCCUGGGGAGUACGGUCGCAAGACUGAAAACUCAAAGGAAUUGACGGGGGCCCGCACAAGCGGUGGAGCAUGUGGUUUAAUUCGAAGCAACGCGAAGAACCUUACCAGGUCUUGACAUCCUCUGACAACCCUAGAGA
This 1016-nucleotide ribosomal RNA is filed under the name Bacillus sp. CCMMB1018. RNAcentral's name for it is "bacterial SSU rRNA". It matches the Rfam family "Bacterial small subunit ribosomal RNA", at positions 12 to 1006 of the family's 1533-position model. The record is from RNAcentral. Lineage: Bacteria; Bacillati; Bacillota; Bacilli; Caryophanales; Bacillaceae.